RNAcentral lists this transfer RNA (65 nucleotides) under Lens contradens. Its description in RNAcentral is "tRNA-Arg". Lineage: Eukaryota; Metazoa; Mollusca; Bivalvia; Unionida; Unionidae. The record is from RNAcentral.
ACAAAGAUAAGCUAGAUAGCGACCACGGUUUCGGCCCGUGCCAAGGACGGGCAAUCCUCUUUGUU